This is a long non-coding RNA of Meleagris gallopavo (turkey), 2468 nucleotides long. The record is from Ensembl. NCBI's taxonomy places the organism in Eukaryota, Metazoa, Chordata, Aves, Galliformes, Phasianidae.
UAUAUUCAGCUUGGUCCAAACCGUGAGGUUUAUUAUACUCAUGAAAAUACAGCAGCAUUAUCUCAUUACUCUAGAAUUUAUGUGCAAGAAUUAAAAGAAACAUUUGGAGAGCUAUUUAAAAUAGAUAUAAAUAUAUCUGCCAUGAUUAAAGAUAACUAAUUUAAUUUAACAGAAACUGUUAAAUAAACAGCAUGUUGUAAUAGUGGCAGAGUUCUAAUGCCAAUAAGCAAGGCUGCCAGAGGCUUUCAAUCAUAAGCUUCUGUAUUCAGAUUCUGAUUGCUCUGCCAAAUUUAAAUAAUUGUGGCUGGAUAUAUCCCUGAAAUAUUUUUUUUUCCUCAAGUUUUGAUUAAAGCAAACGUUUUCCUAAGUAGUUAAGGAAAAUAGCAUUGACCAGUUAAGGUUAAAUAGUUUUAUUAACAUUUUGCUUGAAAGCUUCCAUCUGGUGGCACAUGGGAAAUGGAAUUUAAAAUCUGCUUUGAGAUUUCCCUGGACUGAAGAAACUGCCUAUGCUGCUCCUCUGAAAUUGGCCUUAGAGGUUACUGAGGAAAAUGUCUCUGCCCACUGCAGUGCUUGUGAAAGCAGUGCUCAAAGAUUGUGAAAGCCAAAGAUCCUCCAAUGCUGAACAUGCCUUAUUCUGUCCAAGCACACGAAGAAAUAACCUUCCUCACUGGAGAUCUGAGUGGCUUCCCUCAGCAUGCUGGGGUCGCACUCCCUGUAAAGGAGUGCUGCUGGGAGCAGGGAUCUUGAGCAAGAAUCCCAGACAUGUGGAUUCUUCUAGUGUUGCCUCCUUCUGCUCUGUUACGAAACUGAAGGGAAAUCAUGGUCUGAGGAACAGCAACAACAGAAAAGUAAUACAUAAUAGAACAGGCCUGGGAAGUCUUCCUUUUAUUUCAGGUAAUGACCUUAAAAUAAAACCAUCAUAAGAAUAUCUAAGGUAAGAGACAGAAAAAAAAUCUGGAACCUGAAAACUACUGGAAGUGAAAUUGUUUCUUAGUAGCUACCAGUUCCAUGAAUGAAACCACAACAAUAUAAGAACAAGCUAGCUGGGUGAAUGUAAGCACUCAAUAUUUAAAGGCUGUUUUAGGACUUAAUGGCAGUAAAUGGAGAAUUAUUCUCUGAUUCUCUGAACGUAAGUGCUUUAAACUUGACAGUUCUUAGUCCAUGUUGCUAUAAUCUGAAAACUUAAUACCUCCCAAGACAAUCUCUCCCAUCUGAAUUUUCUUUAGGUGACAUGUUCUCCACCUUGCCCUUCCUCACAAAGAUGUUAAGAAGAAGAGAAAAUGCUGGGGACCUUUCUUCAUCUUUGAUCAGGAUAACAAUAUCUUAAUAGCACAACACUGAAUUUAGUUCCUUAGACUGAGAGAUGCAAGAAAGAAAUUGUAUUUUUUAAUUAUUUAACUGUAAAUCUGAUUAAAGCCUCCAUCUCAUAGAAGCCAUGUCAUAAGAAACAAAUGGAAACAAAUUUUAGCUUAUUAUUACAUGCAAUUAUUACAGAUAAUUGUUUUCCAAGUCUAAUACCUCUUCAAGCUCAUUGAACCCAGCCUCUCUUUUUUAAAACAAAGGUAAAGCUAUGAAAAUUUUACAUGUUUCUGCUAUAAACAUAGAGGAGACAGUAAAACUUACAAAUGCAAUUUUAAUUAUAAGUUUUAAUAAGUUUCAAGAGCUCUAUUUUAGAAAGGGAUAAGAAGCAUAAAUAUUUCAUUUUGCUUCUAGGCGAAUGUAGCUAAAUAAUUGUUCCAUUUCUUAACACAGAUUUGAAGGACCUUAUCAGGUUACAGGGAACGGUUAUCAUAGAUUGAAAGGUGAAAUAUAUGUUUUAAUUAAAUCCAAGAAUCUGCUAUAAUAGUGCCUAAAAUAAAAUCAGUUUUCUAAACCUCCAUUUUUGAAAACAAAAUCACAAAUCAGAUAUCCAAAGUUUUUUUUUUUUUCUUUCAUGAAUAUGCUUUGAAUGUUUCAAUUUGUCAUUUGAUAGGAGUUUAUGUUUUGCUUGUAGUUCACUGACGAAUGGUAAUCAUAUACUCCAGACUCACAAUCUCUUCAGAGUGAAAACAAAGUAUUCCAGUAAUUUAUGGAUCUUUGUAGUGAAAGUUUGUUUUUGUUUUUUUUUAAAAUGUAUUGUGAGACAUAUCUUAAAAUUCUCAUAUGGCAGUGCUGCAAAGUUUGGGAACACUCAUCUUGGGAGGGUGGCAGACUUCAGGAUGAAGUACCGUUUGCAGUAUCCCUUUGGCUUCAUCACAACGUCAACUUUGGAAUUCUGAUUUCAGGAAAUACUUUGUGGUUGUACAAGCAAAUAAAUAAAUACUGGUUUUAAUAUGACUUGCAUUUAGUGUUCUGUGAAGCGAAGAUCAAACCUAGUAAAGCAGAAAUAUUUUCAAAAAGUAUAUAGCAAACUACAAUGACAGAAACAACAAAUAGACUAUCUUAAAAGUGAGGCUAGAAGGCCUUGCAAGAAUUUUAAUAUCCUUAUG